GCCUCCUUCGUACUCCCGUUUCCUUCACCCCUCAUCUCUCCUGCCCUGCGCCUCUGUCCAAGAACCAAAGAUUUGAAAGGGACACUUUCACACCCCACGCCCAGCCAGCCGCACCAACGACCACAAUCACACCUCUGACUUCUGCGUUGAUCAUCCACGAACAGGAUAUGAGUCGCAUAUUCAAACAACAAAAGAUCGACAAAGCGGCAGGCCCAGACCUUGUGUCCCCAUCCUGCCUCAAAGUCUGCGCGGACCAGCUCGCUCCAGUCUUCACACAGAUCUUCAAUAUUCAUUCAUUCAUCUUCCGUUCCACUUAUCCCCACUAGGGUUGCGGGGGCGCUGGAGCCUAUCCCAGCUAUCUUCGGGCGAAAGGCGGGGUACACCCUGAACUGGUCGCCAGCCAAUCACAAGGCACAUAGAAACAAGCAACCAUUCGUACUCACAUACACACCUACAGGCAAUUUAGAGUCUCAAAUUAAUGCAUGUUUUUGGGAUGUGGGAGGAAACCGGAGUGCCCGAAGAAAACCCACGCAGGCACGGGGAGAACAUGCAAACUCCCCACAGGCGGGGCCGGGGAUUGAACCCCGGUCCUCAGAACUGUGAGGCAGACGCUCUAACCAGUCGAACACCGUGCCGCCACAAUAAGGUGUAAUAUAACAAAAAAAAAGGGGUUAUUUUAAGGUGCAUAUGCAAAUGACAUGCCCAAAAUUAUAUGUUAACUGUCGUCUUGUCCACUGUCUUGUUUGUUGUUCUAAGUAAACAGUAAACAGUAAACUUCAUGUUCAAACGGC
This is a long non-coding RNA of Phyllopteryx taeniolatus (common seadragon), 791 nucleotides long. RefSeq lists it as uncharacterized. Lineage: Eukaryota; Metazoa; Chordata; Actinopteri; Syngnathiformes; Syngnathidae. The transcript is spliced from 2 exons. The record is from RefSeq and is a predicted model, not a curated record.